CGAGGCGGGCGGGCAGUAUCUCUCCCUUGCCUUUUAAAAAAAAUACCUCCCUCCCUGUUAAAAAAAAAAAUAAAAACAGAAACACGCUCUUUCCUUUCCUUAAGGCCGGAGGAGAAAGCUCCGCUUCAGCUUCCUUGCCCCAAGCAUCCAUCCUCGCCCCAGGGGCCCCUCAUUGUCCCGAACGUCCCUCUUACACCCAACACGCCUUCGUUGCCAGCGAUUUCAAGCACUUGGUUUGCAUGUUUACUGUGCUAAAAACAGUUACGAGCAAUCUGGAUAGCCCUCUGUUAGCUGUGAUGAAAACAUUCUCCAGUAUAUCUGACAGUGCCUGCCACUGAAAAGGCCCAAGAAAUACUCCAGCUCGAUGGGGAAUGAUCCUAGCUUUCUACAAACGACACACUGAAGACCUGACGCUGCCUUUCACCUGGGGCCAGUGCUGUGGCAUCAUCCCUGGUGAGGAUUUGGGCUUGUUCAUGUUCUGACGGACAGGACACACGUACUGAUGCUUGUGGACACAAGUGAGGCAUGUUUGAAUGGGAGAGAAGUUACACAACCCCUUGAACAUGGCAAGAACAAAGUUAACACCCUCCCAGGCAUGCUGGAGCUGGAGAACCACAAUCAGAAAUGUGAGGAAGAGAGAAGGCACAGCUGGGCCUCAGGAUGUCCUCCUCGCUCCUUGGCCCUCUCUAUAGACAUUUUAUUUUUCUGCAACAAGUCACAGAGCCAAAGCAAGAUGCUGCAGAAUUCUGCAUCCCCUGUCCCCAGCUGCUGCUUUAAAUAUAUCCCUGCCAAGUGGCACAUUGCUGGGCCAUGGUCACUUGGGCCAGCAGGACUGGCUUCCCUGGGGACCUUGGAGGGACAUGGGACAAAUGCAAGUCCCAGAACUGUUUACCUUUCUUUCCCUGGGCAAAUCCCUGCUUGGGCACUCUGGGUCUCACAGCUUGUGUGCCACUUGAUCUCCCACUGUGCCUCUGAAAUGUGGGGUCAAAGCUGACAAUUAGUUUCCAGAAACAAAAAAGAGAAAGUGAAUCUUCAAUAACCUCUGAUUUUGAAUCUUCUAAUUAUCUAUCCAGCUCAGUAGGAGAGGAACAACAUGUUUGUCCUUCCUACACCAAGUAUUCCUUGUAAAUCUAAACAACAAAAAAAAAAAAUCAAGAAAAAUCCCACUAAUUAUUUAAAGAAAAAGAGAUACCAAUUAGUCACAAUAAUUAUUAUUUAGAUAUAGAUUAUCUUCAGAAACACAGGACACUGUUAUUUUGUUACUGCAGCAUCACUGAAAAAUGUCUUUCAUUCAAAUUGCAAGAUUGAGCAUAAUUUCCAUGUUAUUUUUCUGUGAACACAGGGCUCCAUAUAUUAUUUGUGAUGUUCCUAAUUUUUAAUUAC
Molecule: long non-coding RNA, 1383 nt
Filed under: Parus major (Great Tit)
Lineage: Eukaryota; Metazoa; Chordata; Aves; Passeriformes; Paridae
Description: lncRNA (ENSPMJG00000018194.1)
Source: RNAcentral